RNAcentral lists this ribosomal RNA (1029 nucleotides) under Mycobacterium sp. URHE0081. RNAcentral describes it as "bacterial SSU rRNA". It matches the Rfam family "Bacterial small subunit ribosomal RNA", at positions 77 to 1120 of the family's 1533-position model. Lineage: Bacteria; Bacillati; Actinomycetota; Actinomycetes; Mycobacteriales; Mycobacteriaceae. The record is from RNAcentral.
CCUUCGGGGUGCUCGAGUGGCGAACGGGUGAGUAACACGUGGGUGAUCUGCCCUGCACUUUGGGAUAAGCCUGGGAAACUGGGUCUAAUACCGAAUACACCUUGCUGGUCGCAUGGCCUGGUGGGGGAAAGCUUUUGCGGUGUGGGAUGGGCCCGCGGCCUAUCAGCUUGUUGGUGGGGUGAUGGCCUACCAAGGCGACGACGGGUAGCCGGCCUGAGAGGGUGUCCGGCCACACUGGGACUGAGAUACGGCCCAGACUCCUACGGGAGGCAGCAGUGGGGAAUAUUGCACAAUGGGCGCAAGCCUGAUGCAGCGACGCCGCGUGAGGGAUGACGGCCUUCGGGUUGUAAACCUCUUUCAGUACCGACGAAGCGCAAGUGACGGUAGGUACAGAAGAAGCACCGGCCAACUACGUGCCAGCAGCCGCGGUAAUACGUAGGGUGCGAGCGUUGUCCGGAAUUACUGGGCGUAAAGAGCUCGUAGGUGGUUUGUCGCGUUGUCCGUGAAAACUCACAGCUUAACUGUGGGCGUGCGGGCGAUACGGGCAGACUGGAGUACUGCAGGGGAGACUGGAAUUCCUGGUGUAGCGGUGGAAUGCGCAGAUAUCAGGAGGAACACCGGUGGCGAAGGCGGGUCUCUGGGCAGUAACUGACGCUGANGAGCGAAAGCGUGGGGAGCGAACAGGAUUAGAUACCCUGGUAGUCCACGCCGUAAACGGUGGGUACUAGGUGUGGGUUUCCUUCCUUGGGAUCCGUGCCGUANCUAACGCAUUAAGUACCCCGCCUGGGGAGUACGGCCGCAAGGCUAAAACUCAAAGGAAUUGACGGGGGCCCGCACAAGCGGCGGAGCAUGUGGAAUUAUUUNNAUGCAACGCGAAGAACCUUACCUGGGUUUGACNUGCACAGGACGCGUCUAGAGAUAGGCGUUCCCUUGUGGNCUGUGUGCAGUGGUGCAUGGCUGUCGUCAGCUCNUGUCGUGAGAUGUUGGGUUAAGUCCCNCAANAACCGCACCCCUGGUCUCAUGUUUNCA